UCUGAACAGAAAGAUAACAGCACUGCUCAUCUUGAUAGAGAAGAAGAAAGGAAGGCCAGCACCGGGUCCCUGCCUGCUGUUUGUGAGUCAUAAUCAAUCACCUCGGCAAGCUCUUUUCAGGUGCUCCCCUGGAGGAAAAGCUGCUUCGGCUGAUGUCCUGUUAGACACUGAAACCCAGGCCCAUCCUUGAGGAAGGCUCUGAGACUCAUCACUGGGCGAUUGAGACCGAAAGCACUGCUCUCAACCCCAAGCAGGCAGAAUAAAAGACAGCAAUUGUACUGCUCAGACGCUGGGUCCACUGCUGGUGCCAGACAGUGACGCCUCGUGCUUCUCUAACUGAACUGGACAGCUGUCCUCAGGUCCCAGACACCAUGCCUGUAACACUUCAGCAUCUUGACCUGGUUGAGGGACUGGAUGUUUGUGUCCUUCCAACACUCAUCUGUUGAAACUCCAACAGUGAUGGGAAUAGGGGGUGGACCUUUGAGAUUGUGUAAGAUAAUCCCACUGCGCUGGAAGACCUGGCUGUUUACUGUCACUGGCAGCUCUGAGUGCAUCUGGAAUGGUUUUACCUGCAAGAAAAGACAGGAAGAGCUGGAACCAGGAGCACAACUGAGCAGGAGAACAUUGGCUGGGAAGGAAGCCACUCAGAGAAGUUCACCACAUCCCGAGGAGUAGUCUAGUCUGCUGUGCCGAGGAGGGACGGCUGAGUUUGUCCAAGGUUCAGAGUCAGCCAGAAAGCUGCACCAUGAGCUCAGAAGAACGAAGGCAGGGAUGGUGCCAGAAUGAACAGGGGAUCCAGGCUGCAGACAGAGCAGAUGAAACCAAGGGUCUUUGAGUUUCAUGGUGUUUUGUGGGAUAUAGCAAUCAAUGGGAUGCUCUGUUUUCCAAUCACUUGGGAAGUAAUUACAGAAAUCCCACCUUUGCUGGCCCUAUCAGUCCAAUGGAGCUGAGUAGAGGUUUUUCAUCCAGAUGACACACCUUUCAAGGCCACUUACACCAUGUGACAGUUGCAUUCCAGGACCCUGGAGCAAUGAGCCCCACUUGUGAGACAGAGACAGAUGUCACCUCUAUACUGCCAUUUGAAGGACAAAAGGAAAGCUGUAUAACCAUCCUACCCCAUACCUGCUGUCAGCCCACUAUAGUGCCCAAAAUUCCCAUUACCUGCUGCUUAGGUUUUCUGUGCAGACACACUAGUAAAGUACAAAUGGUACCUAGAAAGAGUCAGGCAGUGGAUGCAGAACAAAGAACUUGAAUGUCAGAGUAAGCUGGUUUCAGACCCCAGAUAUUUAUAUUCUUUACCUCCCUCCUCCUUCCCCCUUUCUCUCUCUUCCUCCCUCUCUGUCUCAUACACACACACACACACAUGCAUGCACGCACACAUGCAUGCCAUGCCUGCAGGGGGGCGGGCCGGAGGUGGGGAGGAGGAUAUGCCUGGCAACUCACUUAGCAUCCUAAAGGCUCUGUGUCCUUGUUUAGGAAAACAUAAAUUCUACCAAUUUAGUAUUUGUGCUGGCUAGUUUUAUGUCAACUUGACACACAAACCAGAGUUAAAUUGAGAGAAUCUCAAUUGAGAAAAUGCCUCUAUAAGAUCCAGCUGUGGGGCUUAGUGAUUGACGGGGGAAGGCCCAGCCCAUUGUGGGUGGUGCCAUCACUGGGCUGGUGGUCCUGAGUGCUAUAAGAAAGCAGACUGAGCAAGCCAUAGGGAGCAAGUCAGUAAGCAGCACCCCUCCAUGGCCUCUGCUCCAGCUCCUGCCUCCAGGUUCCUACCCUGACUUCCUUCCGUGAUGAACAGCAAUAUGGAAGUGUAAGCCAAAUAAACCCUUUCCUCCCUGA
Long non-coding RNA from Peromyscus californicus insignis, 1833 nucleotides. RefSeq lists it as uncharacterized. The transcript is spliced from 2 exons. The record is from RefSeq and is a predicted model, not a curated record. NCBI's taxonomy places the organism in Eukaryota, Metazoa, Chordata, Mammalia, Rodentia, Cricetidae.